AUGGCGGGUGGCACCAUCUCUUCCGUUAACACCGCAUCUUUCCAAGUCAUCUCCUUCAACCACCACACCUUCUCGUCAAUCUUGAUCUUGCGAUCAACGGCAACCGACCGCAACAGAGCCAUUACCAAUAUCUACGCCCCCUCCUCCCGCGCCCUCAAGCACUCUUUUCUUAGUGAGUUACUAGCUAUCGCCCAACCAGACGACUCACCCUGGCUUCUAGUGGGAGAUUUUAACCUCCUCUGUUACCCUGCCGACAAAAAUAACGACGUGUUUAGACAGUCCGAGGCCAAUGCUUUCAACCAAACUCUCAACGAUCUAGCUCUCAUCGAACUUUCGCUUCUCAAUCGCCAGUUCACCUGGUCCAACAAUAGAGCAACCCCCACCCUAGAACGGAUCGACCGCUCCUUCUUUAAUUUAGCCUAG
This 423-nucleotide ribosomal RNA is filed under the name Triticum aestivum (bread wheat). RNAcentral describes it as "partial small subunit ribosomal RNA". Lineage: Eukaryota; Viridiplantae; Streptophyta; Magnoliopsida; Poales; Poaceae. The record is from RNAcentral.